ACCCGCUAAACAAGUCCAAUAACAGAAAUAUAAAUAAUAAUCCAAAUAGAAUAUAAUUAAUAGUCCAAAUAGAAAAUAAAUAGUAAAUGGAUGUCUGCAUCAACUCUCCUAGGGUGGGAGAAAAACUCGACCCCGUCGAGUGGAUAAAUCAAAAUUUUGCAAUGAAUCUGAUGCUAAAGGCUCCAAGUCAUGCCAUGGGGGACGAUCUUUCUGACGAACCAAAUAUCGAAAUUCCACAAAUGAUGACGAUACCAAUUGCAAAUUACCCGCAAAAACAUGAGCUGACCAAGAUAACUUAGGCGAAUGAGAAUUUUGCUGACUCUUAUAAAGAUCCAAUGAAUUUGGCUCACGUCGCUGAAGUCUCUCUUUGGGAAUCCAUGUACCGUCAGAAUCAAGUCGAUCCAUCCAACGAACAAGAAAGCAUUGAAUCUCUCUAUCAUUGGUCAACACAAGCUGUUCAUCCAAAAUAACAUCAAUUUUAUUUUUGUGUGCUGUGAUAGGUGGGAUUGAAGCAAACAUGGCAAAAGAUUCAGUGUGGGAAUUCUCAUGUGGGAGUAGAAACGGGUCAUCAGAGGGGCUAAAAUAGCCGUUGUAAGCAUUGAAGUCCGUAACAAAUAAAAUAGGGUGGUGGUCAUAAUGUGAUAAAAGGUCAUAGACAUAGGUAUUUUGACCAACAUGCUUUGAAAUUUUAAAAAGACCAGUAUUACACGCUUGCAAUAUAACAUAAUCCCCAAUAUUAAAUUCAAAGUAUUGUUUAUGCCAAUCAACUUGAGGUUUAUAUAAUGCUUUACUUGCUUCAAAUUGUUGAUUGAUCUCAAUAUGCAAGCUAUGAAAAUGUGAUACAACUACCUCAACUGACAUAGACACACAAGCAUGUGGGUGCAUGAGAAUAAGGUCUAGAGGUUUCAAAGGUUCACAACUAAGAAUAACUUCAAAGGGUUUUAGACCUAAAGACCAGUUCACAGGAUCGUUAUAUGCAAUUUGAACAGUUGGAGGGAUCAAGUCCCAAUUCUCAAGAUUUUUCUGGACUAGAGACUGUAAUAAAUUGUCAGGAUUUUGGUUAGCACUUUUGUUUUGACUAUCAAUUUGAGGUUGGUCAGUGGUGGAUAAUUUUGCCUUAGUGUUAACCACAGGCGACUGGAUUUUCCAAGGGUGACUGGUGACAUCAUCAAGUUCUUUAACUUGGGUAAGGGUAUGACAUCUAACAUGUGAUCGAGAAUUGUCGGAGAUAAGGGGUAUAGUAUCCAAAGUCUCGAGAAGAGUCUGGAUUCCACCUAAGGAAGUGUCCUCACUAUCAUCUAAGUCAUCAAAAUCUUCACGUUUAGGUUCAUAGACUAGAUAUUCUAACGGCUCCUCUAUUACAUUCUUUCGUUCUUCCAUGACUAAGGUUCGAUUAGGACAUUUAGAAGAAAUGUGACCAAAGUCUUUACAGUUGACGCACAACAAGUGAGAAGAAGACCUUGGAGUUUCAGAAAUUCUACCCUGAUUUUCCAAGAUUGGAGAACCAUUAGAAGGGGGAGGUCCUAGAAGGGACUUAACGGGAGAAGGUGGAGCCAAUGAAGCCAAAUGAUGAUUAUCAAAAAUUUUACCCUUAUUUUUCAAAAUUGGAGGAACAUCAGACAGGGGAGGUCCUAAAAGGGACUUAACGAGAGGAAUUGGAGCCAAUGACACCGAAGGAUGAUUGUCAAUAUGCUUUCUAUAUAGAAAAGAAGAUCUUCGACUAUCACGACCUUUACAAUUAUUUUUCCAAAUAGGAGGAACAUUAGACGGAGACGGUUUUAUGAUAGACUUAUGAUGAGACGACGCUAAUGAGAUGGGUGAGCGACGAUGACCACGCUUUUCAUAUGGAGUACUAAUACUCAACUCAUAAUCUCGAGUUAAAGAGUAAGCGUGAUCAAGAGUAGUGACACCUCGAAGGAAAAGCUCGCGCUUAAGAUCAUCUCUCAGACCUUGGCUAAACCUACUCAAAGUCGUGCUCUCAUCCUCAAUUAAAUGACAUUUGGUUCAAAAUUCCUCAAAUUGCGCGAUAUACUCAGUCACUAAUUGAUUUCCUUGUUUAAGGGAAUUCCAUUGAGUAAGAAUUUCAAAAUUAUCUCGUUCUCGCUCAUGAAUCUGAUCCCUAUUCCUAUCCCUAUCCUUACAAUCGGG
This 2148-nucleotide long non-coding RNA is filed under the name Olea europaea subsp. europaea. The record is from RNAcentral. Lineage: Eukaryota; Viridiplantae; Streptophyta; Magnoliopsida; Lamiales; Oleaceae.